UGUUGGAAGUUGCAAGAACUUUUCUGAUAGAUUUCAGCAGAACUAAGAAUUACUUGAUUCUAUUGUUGACUUGAUCUCUGCUUUUUGAAACUUUGGACCAGUCUGCGGGUGAGAUGAGUCUUCUGCUUAUUAACACAAGUAUGAAAAAUAGCUCAUGUUCAAGAUCACAGCAUGCAUAGGAGUCCAAACCAUCUUGAGAUAUUGGACAAAGGAAUUAGAGGUCAGCUGGGCAGAAAAAUGUCAGUGUCUUAUGUCUACGCUGGAUAGAAGAAGAAUUAAGAGACUUAUUGAUUCGAGGAAGAUUUAGACCAGUCACUGAGGAGGAACUAGCAGGAAGAGAUUUUCAAGGCAGGUCCUUGGGCUGUGUGUGGCAAUUGGGCACGUACCUGUUGGAAAUGCUUCAGGCAGAGAGCAACCUGUCUGUAGAGCCCCGGUACAGCAGGGUGCUGGCCUGAAACCAAUGUUCUGUGGGACUGGAGCCAGAAACAGGAUCAGGGUUGCAGGAAGAACCCUGAAAAGAAAGGCUCUUCUUUCAGAAAGUGGAGCUCCAUGAGCUGUCGGCAUCCCAGGGGCAGAGCAGAGGCAGAUUUUGGCUGUGAAGUUGACCCAGCCAAUGCCACGCAGGACAAGGUGGCAUUGAGAAGGUCCACAGCAGCAGCAUGUGUGCUGGAGGGGAACCACAAGCCGUGAAGGAUAGGGCAAAAGUGCCCGCUUCAUAAAUACACAUAAACAAACAAAACAGCUCACCAGCAGACAAGUAAGUGGUCUCUGAUCCAGGCAAGCAUGAUUGUUUCUCCAAUUUCUUCCCUCUCUCCAUCCUCACCAGCUCUUCCAGUUGUUUUCAGCAGCGUUCUUGAAUGAAUAAGUCAGAAUAAAGACACACGGGAAAACCCAGCAAUAAGAAACCUGAAGAGUCGUGGAUGGAGCAAAUUAAAAGUUCUGCCCAAGUGCGUGCAUGACACACUGUGCUUACCCGUCUGCACUAAUGACAGUGCUUCCUCUGAAUGCUUUUCUUCAGCUUCCUUAUUAAUUAAAACACGCCUUUUAGAAAUGGCAGUCGGUGUAAUGAGAAGGACAGCCCCUGUUAUUAAUGCUGAACUCAUUCAAUCUCUUAUGCACGCUUGGUGCUGUGAAUGGCCACAGUGUUUUGGCAAUGCAUGCAUCAGCUUCAGGGGGGGAAAAAAAGCACUUUUAACACCUGAGAACCAGCAAAGCAGAGACAGGAAUGGCAAACCACAGUGACUGCUGUGUUCUUAUCCUCUGGUUCAUGGCUCACACUGCACUGGAGCACGGAGCAUGUUGUGAUCCCGGAGCUGUUCCAGCUCAUGGCACCACGGCUUGCACCCCAAGAGAGCACUAAAGCAGUAAGUGGGUGCAAGCACAUGUGCCCCAAGGGCUGCCUCAGCUGCAGCAGCUGCUAUCAUAUUUUGUUUCGAGAGAACAUAAGUCUAUUUUUUUUAAUUUUCUUGGUUUCUAUUGAUCCCAGUGUUCCCAUUUACAGAAUUCAGUGCUUCAGUGACCAUGGUUUCUCCUCUGCGAAGGCCCUCCUGUUGCCUUAGAAAAUUAUCAUCCCGUUUACUUAAUUAGGCUGACUCCAAGCUUUAGGCAUCGGCCUGCCAAGAUGAUGCACACAGCGUAUGACACCUGUCAGUUGACUUCAAUGACUGCUCACCACUUCUUCGUGUUCUGCACCUCCCACAAGUCAGCUCCACAGAUGUGUCAGGAACGCUUCCUGAUGACUGCAUUGUAACAAAUGUGCAGGCGUAAGUCUCCUGGAUUUGCAGGAAGUUGUACAGAAUGGUCCAAUAGGUCAUCUUCAUCUCUGGCUUAUGUGGUAAUAAAGGAAUAAUAAAAACGAAGGUUGCAAAGCAUUCUUUCCAUGACUGAAUCAGCUGGCUUUUUUAUGGGCCAGUUAUUCACUGAGCAAUAAAUAUUCAUGGGCUUUUCAGCAAAGACAUGGUGCAUAAUUAGUCUUGAGCGC
This 1981-nucleotide long non-coding RNA is filed under the name Gallus gallus (chicken). The record is from RNAcentral. Lineage: Eukaryota; Metazoa; Chordata; Aves; Galliformes; Phasianidae.